This 497-nucleotide ribosomal RNA is filed under the name uncultured bacterium. RNAcentral's name for it is "partial 16S ribosomal RNA". It matches the Rfam family "Bacterial small subunit ribosomal RNA", at positions 28 to 507 of the family's 1533-position model. The record is from RNAcentral.
GAUGAACGCUGGCGGCGUGCCUAAUACAUGCAAGUCGAGCGAACAGACGAGGAGCUUGCUCCUCUGACGUUAGCGGCGGACGGGUGAGUAACACGUGGAUAACCUACCUAUAAGACUUGGAUAACUUCGGGAAACCGGAGCUAAUACCGGAUAAUAUAUUGAACCGCAUGGUUCAAUAGUGAAAGACGGUUUUGCUGUCACUUUUAGAUGGAUCCGCGCCGCAUUAGCUAGUUGGUAAGGUAACGGCUUACCAAGGCAACGAUGCGUAGCCGACCUGAGAGGAUGAUCGGCCACACUGGAACUGAGACACGGUCCAGACUCCUACGGGAGGCAGCAGUAGGGAAUAUUCCGCAAUGGGCGAAAGCCUGACGGAGCAACGCCGCGUGAGUGAUGAAGGUCUUCGGAUCGUAAAACUCUGUUAUUAGGGAAGAACAAAUGUGUAAGUAACUAUGCACGUCUUGACGGUACCUAAUCAGAAAGCCACGGCUAACUACGUG